AUUGAGCUGAUUGCAUGACAUUGGACGGCAGGAGACCUAAACUUGGACUUGGUUCUACCUCUAGAAGCUACAGCUACAUGUCUGGUGUCAAAGCACGUAUAGGAGAUAAAAAGAGAAGCCCUACCAAUUCCUGCAAGAGUUCACCGUCUGGAAAAUGUUCAUGGAGCCAAUAAAUAAUUCAGUUUUCCAUGGACACGUUAAUGAAAACUUGCAUUUUAUUAUACCUGCAGUGGAUAUCGGCUUGCUGUUUUACUUAAAAGUAAGUCUGACUGUAACUAAUAGAAAAAAUGAAAUGAUAAUGGCUUUAACAAUAUAGAAGUUUAUUCUUUGUAAUGGACAGGAG
Molecule: long non-coding RNA, 343 nt
Filed under: Oryctolagus cuniculus (rabbit)
Lineage: Eukaryota; Metazoa; Chordata; Mammalia; Lagomorpha; Leporidae
Description: lncRNA (ENSOCUG00000030230.1)
Source: RNAcentral